GGAAUAUUGGACAAUGGGGGAAACCCUGAUCCAGCCAUGCCGCGUGUGUGAAGAAGGCCUUAGGGUUGUAAAGCACUUUCAGUGGGGAGAAAGGUUGUUCGCUUAAUACGUGAGCAAAUUGAUGUUACCCACAGAAGAAGCACCGGCUAACUCCGUUCCAGCAGCCGCGGUAAUACGUAGGGUGCAAGCGUUAAUCGGAAUUACUGGGCGUAAAGCGAACGUAGGCGGUUUGAUAAGCCAGCCGUGAAAGCCCCGGGCUCAACCUGGGAAUUGCGGUUGGAACUGUCAAGCUCGAGUACAGUAGAGGGGUGUGGAAUUUCAGGUGUAGCGGUGAAAUGCGUAGAUAUCUGAAGGAACAUCAGUGGCGAAGGCGACACCCUGGACUGAUACUGACGCUGAGGUGCGAAAGCGUGGGGAGCAAAC
RNAcentral lists this ribosomal RNA (423 nucleotides) under uncultured bacterium. Its description in RNAcentral is "bacterial SSU rRNA". It matches the Rfam family "Bacterial small subunit ribosomal RNA", at positions 358 to 773 of the family's 1533-position model. The record is from RNAcentral.